GUGGGGAAUAUUGCACAAUGGGCGCAAGCCUGAUGCAGCCAUGCCGCGUGUAUGAAGAAGGCCUUCGGGUUGUAAAGUACUUUCAGCGAGGAGGAAGGCGUUGUGGUUAAUAACCGCAACGAUUGACGUUACUCGCAGAAGAAGCACCGGCUAACUCCGUGCCAGCAGCCGCGGUAAUACGGAGGGUGCAAGCGUUAAUCGGAAUUACUGGGCGUAAAGCGCACGCAGGCGGUCUGUCAAGUCGGAUGUGAAAUCCCCGGGCUCAACCUGGGAACUGCAUCCGAAACUGGCAGGCUAGAGUCUUGUAGAGGGGGGUAGAAUUCCAGGUGUAGCGGUGAAAUGCGUAGAGAUCUGGAGGAAUACCGGUGGCGAAGGCGGCCCCCUGGACAAAGACUGACGCUCAGGUGCGAAAGCGUGGGGAGCAAACAGG
Molecule: ribosomal RNA, 430 nt
Filed under: bacterium
Lineage: Bacteria
Description: bacterial SSU rRNA
Rfam family: Bacterial small subunit ribosomal RNA
Source: RNAcentral